UCUUUCAUUGGUUAUGUAUCUGAUGUGAUC
RNAcentral lists this non-coding RNA (30 nucleotides) under Rattus norvegicus (Norway rat). Lineage: Eukaryota; Metazoa; Chordata; Mammalia; Rodentia; Muridae. The record is from RNAcentral.